UUGACUCAACGCGGGAAAUCUUACCGGGUCCGGACAUAUCGAGGAUUGACAGACAGUUACCAUGCCCUUUCGAAAGGAGUCAGGUUUUAAACCUAAUGGCUCUUUCAUGAUUAUAUGAUAGGUGGUGCAUGGCCGUUCUUAGUUCGUGGAGUGAUCUGUCUGCUUAAUUGCGUUUCAAAUUUUUAUUUGAGGACCAGGUUUUGGUUUGGGUAGUGGUCCUACGAUGACUGUGAACUGUCAUGUCUUCGGAUGUGCGACUAUCGGUCUAGGAUCGCAUCUCAGCCCCUGGGACUCUUUUGAACGCAACGGACGUGAUUGCAACCCCUUGUUGAGAUUAGAGGAGUCUCGAUAUUCAUUGGCCAAACUUACCGCUUCGAGCUUGCUCGUGCAGUUUUGUUAGCCGGUGGAUAAACUCGGGGGACUGCUGACUAUAACCAUUUCUCAAAACAGAGGAAGGUGCG
This 461-nucleotide ribosomal RNA is filed under the name Globigerinoides ruber. Its description in RNAcentral is "SSU rRNA". It matches the Rfam family "Eukaryotic small subunit ribosomal RNA", at positions 1195 to 1449 of the family's 1831-position model. The record is from RNAcentral. Lineage: Eukaryota; Foraminifera; Rotaliida; Globigerinidae.